This 1440-nucleotide ribosomal RNA is filed under the name uncultured organism. RNAcentral's name for it is "SSU rRNA". It matches the Rfam family "Bacterial small subunit ribosomal RNA". The record is from RNAcentral.
GCUAGCUACAGGCUUAACACAUGCAAGUCGAGGGGCAGCAUGGUCUUAGCUUGCUAAGGCCGAUGGCGACCGGCGCACGGGUGAGUAACGCGUAUCCAACCUGCCUUACACUCUUGGACAGCCUUCUGAAAGGGAGAUUAAUACAAGAUGUUAUCAUGAGUAAGCAUUUUCGCAUGAUUAAAGGUUUACCGGUGUAAGAUGGGGAUGCGUUCCAUUAGAUAGUAGGCGGGGUAACGGCCCACCUAGUCUUCGAUGGAUAGGGGUUCUGAGAGGAAGGUCCCCCACAUUGGAACUGAGACACGGUCCAAACUCCUACGGGAGGCAGCAGUGAGGAAUAUUGGUCAAUGGACGAGAGUCUGAACCAGCCAAGUAGCGUGAAGGAUGAAGGUUCUAUGGAUUGUAAACUUCUUUUAUACGGGAAUAAACGGAUCCACGUGUGGAUUUUUGCAUGUACCGUAUGAAUAAGGAUCGGCUAACUCCGUGCCAGCAGCCGCGGUAAUACGGAGGAUCCGAGCGUUAUCCGGAUUUAUUGGGUUUAAAGGGAGCGUAGAUGGGUUGUUAAGUCAGUUGUGAAAGUUUGCGGCUCAACCGUAAAAUUGCAAUUGAUACUGGCAGUCUUGAGUACAGUUGAGGUAGGCGGAAUUCGUGGUGUAGCGGUGAAAUGCUUAGAUAUCACGAAGAACUCCGAUUGCGAAGGCAGCUUACUAACCUGUAACUGACAUUGAUGCUCGAAAGUGUGGGUAUCAAACAGGAUUAGAUACCCUGGUAGUCCACACGGUAAACGAUGAAUACUCGCUGUAGGCGAUAUACAGUCUGCGGCCAAGCGAAAGCAUUAAGUAUUCCACCUGGGGAGUACGCCGGCAACGGUGAAACUCAAAGGAAUUGACGGGGGCCCGCACAAGCGGAGGAACAUGUGGUUUAAUUCGAUGAUACGCGAGGAACCUUACCCGGGCUUAAAUUGCAACCGAAUAUGGCGGAAACGCUAUAGCUAGCAAUAGCGGUUGUGAAGGUGCUGCAUGGUUGUCGUCAGCUCGUGCCGUGAGGUGUCGGCUUGAGUGCCAUAACGAGCGCAACCCUUGCCGAUAGUUACUAACAGGUUAUGCUGAGGACUCUGUCGGGACUGCCAUCGUAAGAUGUGAGGAAGGUGGGGAUGACGUCAAAUCAGCACGGCCCUUACGUCCGGGGCUACACACGUGUUACAAUGGGGGGUACAGAGGGCUGCUACCACGCAAGUGGAUGCCAAUCCCAAAAACCUCUCUCAGUUCGGAUUGAAGUCUGCAACCCGACUUCAUGAAGCUGGAUUCGCUAGUAAUCGCGCAUCAGCCACGGCGCGGUGAAUACGUUCCCGGGCCUUGUACACACCGCCCGUCAAGCCAUGGGAGCCGGGGGUACCUGAAGUGCGUAACCGCAAGGAGCGCCCUAGGGUAAAACUGGUGACUG